Hevea brasiliensis (rubber tree) is the source of this 1072-nucleotide long non-coding RNA. RefSeq lists it as uncharacterized. The transcript is spliced from 2 exons. NCBI's taxonomy places the organism in Eukaryota, Viridiplantae, Streptophyta, Magnoliopsida, Malpighiales, Euphorbiaceae. The record is from RefSeq and is a predicted model, not a curated record.
AAAUCCCUAAUUCUCCUUCCGCUUCCUCAAUCAGUGUAUGAUGAUAAUGAUGAUGAUGAUAUUAUGUUUAUUUAUUUUUUUAUAAUUAGUAUUUUGUAAAUAUAAAAAAUUAAUAGUAAUAUAACAGUUUUAAAGUAUUAUAAAUUCACGUAAGUAUAUAAUUUGCAUGUCAAUAGCAUAAUUAAUAAUUGAUAAAAAUGAAAAGAAAAGCAUUUAGUAACCGUUUACUUGGAAAAAAAAAUUGAUUUAACAUUUUAAUUUAAAAAUUUAUCAAAAAAUAUAUUUCAUAAGUAACAAAAGGUAGCCAUUAGGAUUUGAAUACCAGCAACAAGGCUAAAAGGAGAAUGGGCCAAAACAUCCAUAAACAUGUCAGUGUAUCAAACAUAAGUUAUUCCAGCUAGUGCAAGCAGUUAAGCACAUUGACUCAUUGUUCAUCCAUAAACAUGUCCAGAGACUUCGGUACUAUUGGAUGAGAAUGGUAUGCAUUGGUUCUAGGCUCUCUUUCGGAGGGGAAGAUGUGCUGGGUCUCUAUAUGGCUUCGUCUCUUGGAGACUUACCUUUUGCCAUGAAGGAAAACAAAGAGUGGAAGAUUUCAGCCUAUGGGUCUUUUCAUAGACUCUCAGUUUGGAAGUCCUCAUCCACUUUCCUUUUGGUCUGCUCCACCUGGUUGUGUGAAACAGAAAAUCAAUAGCUCUUCGUAAGGGAAACCUGGUCCCUGUUUCAUUGGGGGUGUUCUCCGUGAUCACAGAGGUUUAUACAUGUGUGUCCUUUCUAAGUGAAGCAAAUUUGGUUGCCUAUUGUUUAGCUAACCAGGGUCACUCUCGCAUGUCUUCACAGCUUUUUUUUUUUAGAAUUGUCUGGAUUUUGCUGUGUCUUUGUUGAUCUGAUAUGAUUUUAGUCUGUUUUGGUCCUUAUUGCGGUGAGGAGGUUGCUGCUUUACGUCGGGUCUUGUGGGGAAUGUCUGUUGGCAUGGGCUAGGUUGCAGCUUUCCUCAUCUUCUGUAUCUUCUUUUUCUUUAAUGAAAUUUCUUGCUAAUAAAAAAAAUUCAAAAAGAAAAUCAAUUACCAAUUAA